RNAcentral lists this unclassified non-coding RNA (345 nucleotides) under Mirbelia dilatata. RNAcentral describes it as "partial external transcribed spacer". Lineage: Eukaryota; Viridiplantae; Streptophyta; Magnoliopsida; Fabales; Fabaceae. The record is from RNAcentral.
GUAGCAUCCGUUAACGGCAUUGCGCCCGCGAUCCGCUCUCCCCCUCCGCGAACGGAGAGCGAGACCGGCUCGGAGGCAAGCGUCAUUCAAGGCAACCGAAGUUCGAAGGGACACGAUGGGGCAUCAACCCAUGUUCACCGCAUGGACUGCAUCCGAGAGAACGGUAUAUAUGCCCGUGUGCCGCAGAAGUCAUGACAAUGCAUGGACUAAUGUGGAGCACGUGCAUUACCGAGAAAUCCUCCGGCAACCCCGCAAAGGAAGCCCGGAUGGAAAGAGAAUCGCAAGCCACAUGAAUACCGUUUUAACAGGUAGUCAGCACAGGAACCGCGAAUGAACACCAGAGCC